GACGAACGCUGGCGGCAUGCCUAACACAUGCAAGUCUAGGGGUAGCAAUACCACUGGCGCACGGGUGAGUAACACGUAGGUUAUCUGCCCCCAUCACAGACAUAACCCCGGGAAACCGGGGCUAAUAUCUGAUGAGGUCGCGAGAUCAAAGCUUCGGCGGAUGGGGAUGAGCCUGCGGCUGAUUAGCUAGUUGGUGAGGUAAUGGCUCACCAAGGCGACGAUCAGUAGCUGGUCUGAGAGGACGAACAGCCACACUGGAACUGAGACACGGUCCAGACUCCUACGGGAGGCAGCAGUGAGGAAUAUUGGUCAAUGGGAGCAAUCCUGAACCAGCAAUGCCGCGUGUGGGAUGACAGGGCUUCGCCUUGUAAAACCACUGUCGGACGGGACGAAAGGAGGCCUCGGGCCUCUGGGACGGUACCGUCAAAGGAAGGGUCGGCUAACUACGUGCCAGCAGCCGCGGUAAU
This 467-nucleotide ribosomal RNA is filed under the name uncultured bacterium. RNAcentral's name for it is "bacterial SSU rRNA". It matches the Rfam family "Bacterial small subunit ribosomal RNA", at positions 28 to 524 of the family's 1533-position model. The record is from RNAcentral.